GUGGUUUAAUUCGAAGCAACGCGAAGACCCUUACCUAAGCUUGACAUNCCAAUGNCAUAUCCUUAAUCGGAGAGUUCACNNCAGGGAAAUUGGGGACAGGUGGUGNCUANUUGUCNUCAGCUCGUGUCGUGAGAUGUUGGGUUAAGUCCCGCAACGAGCGCAACCCUUGUCUUUAGUUGCCAUCAUUAAGUUGGGCACUCUAGAGAGACUGCCAGGGAUAACCUGGAGGAAGGUGGUGAUGACGUCAAAUCAUCAUGCCCCUUAUGCUUAGGGCUACACACGUGCUACAAUGGGUAGUACAGAGGGUUGCCAAGCCGUAAGGUGGAGCUAAUCCCUUAAAGCUACUCUCAGUUCGGAUUGUAGGCUGAAACUCGCCUACAUGAAGCUGGAGUUACUAGUAAUCGCAGAUCAGAAUGCUGCGGUGAAUGCGUUCCCGGGUCUUGUACACACCGCCCGUCACACCACGGGAGUUGGAGACGCCCGAAGCCGAUUAUCUAACCUUUUGGAAGAAGUCGUCGAAGGUGGAAUCAAUAACUGGGGUGAAGUCGUAACAAGGUAGCCGUAUCGGAAGGUGCGGCUGGAUCACCUCCUUUCUAAGGAGA
This 602-nucleotide ribosomal RNA is filed under the name Clostridioides difficile. RNAcentral's name for it is "bacterial SSU rRNA". It matches the Rfam family "Bacterial small subunit ribosomal RNA", at positions 941 to 1533 of the family's 1533-position model. Lineage: Bacteria; Bacillati; Bacillota; Clostridia; Peptostreptococcales; Peptostreptococcaceae. The record is from RNAcentral.